UGUAGGUGUGUGGUUCUAUCUUCUCAGAUGCGCAGCCUAGCUAUUGUUUUGUUCGGUGCCGAGCUGUCCAAGAUACAACGCUAAGCACAAUUACUCUAAAAUUAUUUCGUUUUCCAAAAUCGCGACUGAGAAGACAACAAUGCACUGAUAACAUACUGUAAGAUUCGCGAUUAUGGUUCGAAGGGUCCGUUGUAUGAAUUGCGCUUAUUCGUUCAUUUGUGUUGCGCAUAUUGGCUCUUGCUGAGUUGCUGUCGUCUUCCGUGAGAGUUUAGAUACCUGCUGGUUCUGAAACCACAGGACCAUAUGUAACUAAUAAUAACAAUAAAAACAACUCGCCAAAAAAUUAUAGACGAGGCCGAAGGCCGUUUUUGUUACUAUUAUUAGUUACAUAUGGUCCUGUGCUGAAACUGAUUGGAAGCGGAUGGUGUACGAUCCUUAUAUGGAAACGGGCUAAAGGGACAGCACUCUCAUGAAGACCCUGACUAGGAUGUUUUGUAAACAAACGCCGUAAAGUUGAAGUAACUCGAUCAGGUAAGUUUGCUGUUUUAGUUUAUUCUAACCACAGUAGUAUUUUAGAAAUGUAUUUUAGCAGGGGUAGGGUGAUAUUUGUACAUAGUUUCACUUGAUAAUCAUGAAUAUCCGCGAUGUUGUCUCGUUCACAUGUUCACUUCCUGCAUGGUUAUGUCGAUACUCCUGAUCAGCUGAUCGUUGAAGUAUGCAGCAAACUCCUGUUGAUGGAGUAAGUUGUGUUACGUAAUGUUUUAGUUUUUCUGCCAUUCCCGUCUGGAAUUAACACAAAUCAUCUCUUUCGGUAAUUAAUAAACUUUUAUAAUAACACAGGAAAACAAAUUAUAAAUUAAAUAAACUCAUUGAAAUUCUGUGUGUGUUUGUGUGUACCUAAUCUUUAAAUAAUCAUGUACAAUAAUUUUGAUUCAGACUGUUGAAGCAAAAAUCCGCAAAAAUACAUUGUUGCAACAUGUUUAUUUUUUAUAUUUAGGCUUUAUAUAUUUUUUAUUCAAAAAGAUAUCUGGUUUUGCUGGUUUGUAGCUGACAAAAUAUCCAGUCACUAUCCAAAAUCAUCGCCCACCUACCACCCAAAAUAUUCAAAUUUCAUGUUCAAUUGUUCGGUAUAUGAUCUCUGCCAUUUUAUAUUUUGUGAUAGUGAGAUAUUGAUGACAAAAGUGUUAAUGUUUCUAUGUUGUAUCUUUCAAAUAUGAAGUUUCGAGCCAAGUCAUGCCAGACACCGAUGCCCAGAUAGUACAUGUCCCCAGUCCAUCAUGGUGUAAAGUCACUGUCCAAUGUACACCAGAAGCAUGGCACACCGUGCUUCACAGUUUGAGGUCCCACAAUGAUAUGGAAGAGUAUAAAUGCGACAAAGCCCUUUCCAUAUUCAUAUAAAAUCUCUGUAAAAAACAGUUGAUGGUACGAUUCUGACUAAAUCAUGAGCACGUGUUAAUGAAUCGCUAUCAAAUAGUGAUAAUACCAGGUGUUCGCGGAAGGUGAGAGUAUCCUGCCCCAACGGUGUCACAAGAAAUCCUGGUGUUGACAUCCAUUUUCAUUGUGUGCAAAUUGUGUUUAUUUUCAUGCAGAUUUACAAGUCAUAAAAUAUUAGAGUGUCUUGUGAGGUACAGUGCUUAAGACAACAAGAGAGCUGUACUUUUGAAAUAGUCAACCAGUGCACUAACAAGUUGCCACUGAGCAUUUAGCCAGUGCUUGUGAUAUUUUCUUCAGUCUUUUCCCCGGCCUUCGCCCUUGCCCAAAACUACCUGAUCCAGCCUCAGCCAUCCUGUAUUACAGAAACUUAUCAAAUGAAACAGCAAAGGCUGAUUGUUGUCAGAGACCAUAAAACGAGAUUUCAAUGAAAAAAGUUUAUUUUAAUGAGCAUAGAGAAAAACAUUACAUACAUCAGAUGGAAAUCUUUCAUGACUCACCUCGACAACACAAGAUGGAAUAACCUUUCUCUGAUUCUUCAACUAUUUCUGCAAAUCCCCAAAGUGAACCUCUUGUUUAUGAGGUGUAGAUAGAUUCUGAAAUGAAAAAGUGUCUUUUAUUAGUCAAGCUAUGCAUAACAUUACAAAAAGAUAUCAUACCAUUUACAUAUAUAUUUUUGUCAUUAAAUCUAGAGGGAUGCUUAUAUAAGAAGUAACUUGUAUUGAUGAUAUAUGCAUACUUUUUAUUACAUGUUAAUAAUUCAAUAAAUACCAAAACAGUUUAUAGUUCUAUCAUGUUGACAUGAUGUGUUUAUUACUGUAGGUUUGAAUACUUCUUGAAAUAUUGUGGGCAUGUUUCAAUAUCACUGAUGUAAUUUAAUAACCUUACAAGUUACAUAUGCUUUCACAACUUGCUGGCAAAUAAACAUUUAUGGUACUC
This is a long non-coding RNA of Haliotis rufescens (red abalone), 2370 nucleotides long. RefSeq lists it as uncharacterized. The transcript has 2 exons. The record is from RefSeq and is a predicted model, not a curated record. NCBI's taxonomy places the organism in Eukaryota, Metazoa, Mollusca, Gastropoda, Lepetellida, Haliotidae.